This 593-nucleotide ribosomal RNA is filed under the name uncultured bacterium. RNAcentral describes it as "bacterial SSU rRNA". It matches the Rfam family "Bacterial small subunit ribosomal RNA", at positions 98 to 676 of the family's 1533-position model. The record is from RNAcentral.
GCGGAUGGGUGAGUAACACGUGGGGAACCUGCCCCUAAGUCUGGGAUACCAUUUGGAAACAGGUGCUAAUACCGGAUAAUAAAGCAGAUCGCAUGAUCAGCUUUUGAAAGGCGGCGUAAGCUGUCGCUAAGGGAUGGCCCCGCGGUGCAUUAGCUAGUUGGUAAGGUAACGGCUUACCAAGGCGACGAUGCAUAGCCGAGUUGAGAGACUGAUCGGCCACAUUGGGACUGAGACACGGCCCAAACUCCUACGGGAGGCAGCAGUAGGGAAUCUUCCACAAUGGACGCAAGUCUGAUGGAGCAACACCGCGUGAGUGAAGAAGGUUUUCGGAUCGUAAAGCUCUGUUGUUGGUGAAGAGGGAUAGAGGUAGUAACUGGCCUUUAUUUGACGGUAAUCAACCACCAAAGUCACGGCUAACUACGUGCCAGCAGCCGCGGUAAUACGUAAGUGGCAAGCGUUGUCCGGAUUUAUUGGGCGUAAAGCGAGCGCAGGCGGAAAAAUAAGUCUAAUGUGAAAGCCCUCGGCUUAACCGACGAACUGCAUCGGAAACUGUCUUUCUUGAGUGCAGAAUAUGAGAGUGGAACUCCAUGUGU